This 73-nucleotide transfer RNA is filed under the name Neotoma lepida (desert woodrat). It matches the Rfam family "tRNA". From Rfam's summary of the family: Transfer RNA (tRNA) molecules are approximately 80 nucleotides in length. Their secondary structure includes four short double-helical elements and three loops (D, anti-codon, and T loops). The record is from Rfam by way of RNAcentral. Lineage: Eukaryota; Metazoa; Chordata; Mammalia; Rodentia; Cricetidae.
AUUGAUGUAGCUUUAGUGGCAGAGCACUUGCUUAGCAUUCAUGAGGCUCUGGGUUCAAUUCCUAGCAUCGCCA